Molecule: non-coding RNA, 102 nt
Filed under: Sediminibacillus halophilus
Lineage: Bacteria; Bacillati; Bacillota; Bacilli; Caryophanales; Bacillaceae
Description: Guanine sequence
Rfam family: Purine riboswitch aptamer
About the family: Riboswitches are metabolite binding domains within certain messenger RNAs that serve as precision sensors for their corresponding targets.
Source: RNAcentral
AAUACUGAUUGAAACAACCGUCGUAUAAUUUUGGGGAUAUGGCCCAUGAGUUUCUACCGGACUACCGUAAAUGGUCUGACUACGCUGGUGAUUGACAGAGGA